RNAcentral lists this non-coding RNA (46 nucleotides) under Trichobilharzia regenti. Lineage: Eukaryota; Metazoa; Platyhelminthes; Trematoda; Strigeidida; Schistosomatidae. The record is from RNAcentral.
GUACUGAUGAAGAGUCCCGAAAUAGAACGAAACAGAUGUCCAGUAC